Long non-coding RNA from Anolis carolinensis (green anole), 1911 nucleotides. The record is from Ensembl. NCBI's taxonomy places the organism in Eukaryota, Metazoa, Chordata, Lepidosauria, Squamata, Anolidae.
AUGAAUGGGACCCUGAAGAAGGAGACAGAAGGCCUGAUCCUUGCAGCCCAGGAGCAAGACAUCAGGACAAAGGCAAUUAAGGCCAAGAUUGAAAAAUCAGCUGAUGACCCAAAAUGCAGACUUUGCAAGGAAACCGACGAAACCAUUGCUCAUAUCCUCAGCUGCUGUAAGAAAAUCGCACAGACAGACUACAAACAGAGGCACAACUACGUGGCCCAAAUGAUUCAUUGGAACUUAUGCCUCAAGUACCACCUCCCAGCAGCAAAGAACUGGUGGUAUCACAAACCUGCAAAAGUAUUGGAAAAUGAGCACGCAAAGAUACUGUGGGACUUCCAAAUCCAGAAUGACAAAGUUCUGGAACACAACACACCAGACAUCACAGUUGUGGAAAAGAAAAAGGUUUGGAUCAUUGAUGUCGCCAUUCCAGGUGACAGUCACAUUGACGAAAAACAACAGGAAAAACUAAGCCGCUAUCAGGACCUCAAGAUGGAACACAACACACCAGACAUCACAGUUGUGGAAAAGAAAAAGGUUUGGAUCAUUGAUGUCGCCAUCCCAGGUGACAGUCGCAUUGACGAAAAACAACAGGAAAAACUCAGCCGCUAUCAGGACCUCAAGACUGAACUUCAAAGACUCUGGCAGAAACCAGUGCAGGUGGUCCCGGUGGUGAUGGGCACAUUGGGUGCUGUGCCAAAAGAUCUCAGCCGGCAUUUGGAAACAAUAGACAUUGACAAAAUUACGAUCUGCCAAUUGCAAAAGGCCACCCUGCUGGGAUCCGAAAAUACAUCACACAGUCCUAGACACUUGGGAAGUGUUCGACUUGUGAUUUUGUGAUAUGAAAUCCAGCAUAUCUAUCUUGUUUGCUGUGUCAUAAUAAAAUAAUAAUAACAAUAAAAAAUAGUAGAUGUAUCUAUUCAUCACGUUUACAAGAAACCUGCUUUGUGAUCUUUCUAAACAUUCCACCCAUCCCUACCUUGGUCCAGCUUCUUAAUUCUGGACCAUUUAGAAAAGAGGAUGUCUUGGAAUUAAAUCACUGUAGGUAGCACACAGAGCCGGCCCUAGGUAAUUUUCAAGUGUAGGCGAACAGAAUUUUGGUGCCCCCCCAAACCAAUCGCUGAAAAAUAAAAGCGUUGGAUAAGCGAAAAUGUUGGAUAAUAAGGAGGGAUUAAGGAAAAGCCUAUUAAUCAAAUUACAUUAAGAUUUUACAAAUUAAACACCAAAACAUCAUGUUUUACAGCAAACCAACAGAAAAAGGAGUCUCAACUGCGCCCCCAUAUGUUUUGCGCCCGAAGCGACCGCUUAAUUCGCCUCAUUGUUGGACCGGCUCUGGUAGCACACAAAAGUUGGAAAGCUGGGUGUUUUUCAAAGAGCCUUCUUCAGAACUCAGGCUAUAUAAACCUGUCUUCCCAAACAAAGCAUCACUUCAAUGAAAGACAAGCCAAGGACAGAUGGUAGAAUGGAAUCCUUGGUUGCUGAUGGUUUGAACCAGCUUUGGAUUUGGAAAGGUGUAUGUACGUGGGUUGGUGAGAAGGAGAGAGCGGGUUUUGGAGCUGCCAAGAGGCAUAUGUUCGUGCUUACAGACCCAAAAAGGCAUUUAUUUGGACGAAAAACACCGGAACCUGCUCCCUUUGGAAGUAUCUUAGCAACUUCAUCAGGAGCUCCAUGACCUUGGCUUCUCGGACGCAAUGAUUCAAAGGCUGCACCUCUCUUUGCUUUUAUUUUUUCCCUGACGGAUCCCCUGGUUUGCGUUGGAGAAGGAACAGCUACCUUGUUGGCAGGGAAAUAAAUCUAACUGCCAGGCAUCUGCGGUUAUUACCAGCAGCAUAAACAAGCCUUUCAAAUAAAUAUUGAUGAAAAAUAUGCCUAUGAAUAAAUCAUCACUUCGUGCAGGGGAAAAAAAAGAGGGAAUAA